UCCCUGGUGGCUCAGAAAGUAAAGCAUCUGCCUGCAAUGCAGGAGACCUGGGUUCGUCCCUAGGUCGGGAA
RNAcentral lists this transfer RNA (71 nucleotides) under Ovis aries (sheep). It matches the Rfam family "tRNA". Rfam says of the family: Transfer RNA (tRNA) molecules are approximately 80 nucleotides in length. Their secondary structure includes four short double-helical elements and three loops (D, anti-codon, and T loops). The record is from Rfam by way of RNAcentral. Lineage: Eukaryota; Metazoa; Chordata; Mammalia; Artiodactyla; Bovidae.